This is a non-coding RNA of Macaca mulatta (Rhesus monkey), 1141 nucleotides long. The record is from RefSeq and is a predicted model, not a curated record. NCBI's taxonomy places the organism in Eukaryota, Metazoa, Chordata, Mammalia, Primates, Cercopithecidae.
AUCGGCUCUGUCUAGGCAGCGGGCAAGGUGAACCCACUGGGCAGUUACAGAAUUGCCAUUAUAUUGCUUGCAAUUUUAUAUCUUAUUACGCAAAAUAGCUAUAACCUUGUAUACAAGGUUAAAUGCGAAUGUGCUCCUUGCCUGGUCAGAUCCCAGCGCAAGAAGGACGCACCCCCUAUAAACCGCUAGGCCAAAACGGUCAUUCUGGCCACAUCCAGCCUCACGUGAGAUCGCAAUCUCCUGUCACUCAGGGCCUGAGGGGGCGGGGCCUGAAGCCCCAGACAAUCAGGGACGCUGGAGUGGGGACCCGUCAAUCAGGCGCGCCGCGGGAAAGGAGAGGGCGGCUUCCGGGAUCCGGCUGGCGGGCGCUUUGUCUCGCCUUCGCCACCGUAGGCUCUUCCUGUGAGUCUCCGCUGCUACUUCCUGGCUCUGGGAGGCCCAGGUGGCUCAGCAGCAGCCUCGGCCACCCUGUGACCUGCGGGUGUUGGGACAUCCCUAGCUGACGCCGGGACACCCGGGAAGCCGAGGAACGGACUCCGUGGCUUUUGAGGAUGUGGCUGUGAACUUUAGCCAGCAGGAAUGGGCUUUGCUAGAUUCUUCUCAGAAGAAUCUCUACAGAGAAGUGAUGCAGGAAACCUACAGGAACCUGGCUUCUGUAGGAAAAAACGGAAAGACCAGAAUAUUGAAGAUCACUUCAAAAAACUUGGGAAAGAUACAAGAUAAUUUGCACUGAGAAGAGGAAAUAAAGUCCUCUGAAGGAAUCUUAGCAUGUCAUGAAUUUAAAAACAAGCAGUCAAAGCAAAUAAGAGUCACUUGAAAUUCAUUUCCUUUUAGAAAAAUUUCGCCCAAAAUGUAACGUACAUCAGUGUAGCAGUCAGUGUUUGGAAAACAAUUUACUUGAAAAUAGUACUACAAAAUUGUGUAUAUGAAUGUUACUAUUUUGGUCAUAGCCAUGCAGGUGGUAGCUGUGUUUUCAGUAGUAGCCCAUUUACUUUCAAAUAAUUCAGUCAUGGCAUAAAAACAAAAACAAAACAAAACAAAAAUGUAUUUUCCCUAGUAUUGGUAGCAGUGUAAGUCGAAGACCUAUGAAUGAGUAGAAAGUUAUUAAACCAACCAAUAAUAAUGUGCUUGUCAUUUUUUU